This is a long non-coding RNA of Vicia villosa (hairy vetch), 2696 nucleotides long. RefSeq lists it as uncharacterized. Lineage: Eukaryota; Viridiplantae; Streptophyta; Magnoliopsida; Fabales; Fabaceae. The transcript has 8 exons. The record is from RefSeq and is a predicted model, not a curated record.
AGGUUUUUCCUCCAACCUUUUCAAAAACCUUUUCAAUUUUUUUUUUCAUUUCCCCCACACUCUCUCUGCUUGUCGUUCUCUCUCUCUUUUUUCUCUCACCCGCUUUUUCUCUUCCUUCUUCAAACCCUAAAUCGGUCCUUUCUCCCUCAUCUCUGCCUUCCCUUCUCCGAUUCAAACCCUAAAUGUCCCGACAUCGAAAUUCCUCUUCCCAUACUUUAUGUAAGAAACACGUUUAAGGCAGAGAGUUCUGAUGAAAAACCAUCUGGAGAUGAACUCAAGGCGAACUCAAAGUGUGGGAUGCCGAGUUUGUUAAGAUCCAUGCUUUUGCUAUAGGUAAUGUUGUUUCAGAAAAUGGUGAGUUUCUUACUUUCACAAGGUCUUAGAUGUCUCAGUAGAAAGUUUGAUGCAGUAAACACCGUCACGGGUUGAUGAAGAAUCACAUCAGUUUUCUUAUCUGCAAAAGCAUUUUAUUAACAUUUAGCCUCUUUUUACUAGGUACUUGAUGAAGCAGAUCAGGUGAUUACCAUGGGUUUUGAGCGAAUAGUCCUCUAUUUUUGGUCAGCUUCAGGUUUGUAUGGUUCGAUAUAGGUUGAUAUGGUUCAGCAAGCAAGUCUGUGGUACGGUGAUCAAUGUUUCAUCAUGCUAUGUCGAAGGCAGCUCGUGCAGCAAGGUUUUUUGUGUGUUUAUGCUGAGUUGUAUUGGUUUUCUGAUGCAUCGGUUGUGAAUGCUUCUAAGACUGCAUAUGUGAAUGUCAAUUGGAGCUAUGCAGAGCUGUUUGUUGCCAGCUAUAUAUGUUCACUUCAUAUAUAACUGAAAUCUACAUGUUUGGCAAAGCCAUUGUUUUUUAUGAUGCUGUAGCAGGGGCUGCAAGAUAUGGUUUUACUGCUGUAGACAGGCCAUAAGGGUUCUUGGUUUUGGCUAUUGCUUCACUGGGAAAUGAGAUUACUGAGAUGAAAAUUCCCCCUGAGGUAUUUUGUUCUAACCGCAAGUGAUUUGGAGGAGUGGUACCAUAACCCUGAGUCUUUUCACCACAAGCAGGAUAUGAUCCAGUCGACAAAAAAAUUGAGGCCUUGUGCUGAAGCUCUGUACACUGUAUUGUUUGAAAAUAAUAGCCAAUUGCUAGCUCCUGUUGUGGUUUCUCUUCUUCAAGAGAUCAUGAACAAUUUCCCGACUUCAGUGAUAGAAAUUACUUCUGCAUUGCUUCUUAAAGAUGCUGCUUAUGGUGCUGCCGCCUAUGUUUAUUAUGAACUCUCAAACUAUCUGAGCUUUAAAAAAUGGUCCAAUGGAGCUUUAUCACAUUAACUCUCUAAUCAUCAUCUUCAAUUGUUAGAAGCCUUUUCAUUGAGGCAUUGAGGCAUGACAGAACAAACUCAUCUACAUGGUACAAUCUUGGACUUGUGUACAAAGAUGAUUUGGGAACAUCAUCAUUGGAAGCUGCUGAAUGCUUUGAGGCAGUAGUUUUUCUUGAAGAAUCUUGUCCCAUUGAACUCUUUAGAUAACACUUUCACUUAUUUUCUUUUUGUGGUGUGCUUGUAAAGUUGGUUUAUUAAAUAUAUUUUUUAUAUAAAAAUGAAAUAGCAAAAGCUGAAUGAACGGUAAUUGCUAAGUGUUGUUUAUUGUAAGGACUUAUAGAAACCGUUGGUGGAAAGCCAAGGAGAUUGAUAGAAAUGCCUUUAAAGGUAUUGUUAGUGUUAGAUGUGAAUUAUUAGGAAAAGAAAAGAUCUCAUCAUGGAGCCAACUGAUAUGUUUGGUGUCUUAGCCAAGAAAAAGAGAAGAUUGUAGUCUAUGGUUUUUGAUUAUUUAUUUAUUCUAUGCUAGCUACUUGCAAAUUAAAUAAAGAAUUGUGUAAAGGUUCUUCUUGAAGGAAAUGAGAUACCAAUUUAUAAUGUUGAAGUUAAAAAGAUACUCCUACUGGUAGCAAAUUAACCAGAUUAAACUUUAGACAUGUAUUAGAGACAAUGCAUAUGUAAUUUUCUUAUAUUAAACAUGCCAAAUGGGUCAUGUAAUUUAAAUUUUAUUAUAGUUUGGUUAUUUCAUACUCAUGUGUUGGUGAUAUAGUUUUAGUAGUGGAGUGAGUUUGACGAAAGAGUUGAAGCGGAGAAUAGAGAGAGAAACAUCGUUGUUUUGUUUUUUUAAUUAGGAUAUCUUAGUAAUAAUGCAAGUAACAGGUGAAAUGAGCAACGAGUUUGUGUUUCUUUUGUUGGGACUUGGAACAAAGAAUAAUAAAGUGAGAAGCAUAGAGAGGACAAGAAUGCGACUUUUCAGGAUUAGAUUCUCCCAGAGCUAAACAAAAAUAUCUUGGAUAAGCUUUACUUGAUCUAUGAGCGAACUCAGAGGUUAGUCUUAAAGUUGUUGCUAGCAUGAGGACACUUCCUAUGUAGAAAGAGAUGGUCCCGUAUCAAAAGAAUGUGACUCAGAUUUAAGGUGGCUAUGUUUAGACACGUGUUAGGAUCUUGUAGCUCACCAACUACCAUUGACGUGAAGUUGCACUUGAAUACUCUCUUGAUAACAAUUUACAAUGGGGUGGAUAAAUUUGAUAAAAUGAAACACACCAAUCCAAUGUCUUUUUUGUGCAAAUAGAUUUAGGCGGGUUGAAUGUCGAGUUGAUUCAUAUAUUUAAUUUGAAUAAUAUAGGAUUAUUCGGAUUGGUUUUAAAAAAUUAUUUUGUAUAAAUCAAAAAUCGAGUUAGACCAAGA